Molecule: ribosomal RNA, 468 nt
Filed under: uncultured bacterium
Lineage: Bacteria
Description: partial 16S ribosomal RNA
Rfam family: Bacterial small subunit ribosomal RNA
Source: RNAcentral
GACGAACGCUGGCGGCGUGCUUAACACAUGCAAGUCGAACGGAAAGGCCCUGCUUUUGUGGGGUGCUCGAGUGGCGAACGGGUGAGUAACACGUGAGUAACCUGCCCUUGACUUUGGGAUAACUUCAGGAAACUGGGGCUAAUACCGGAUAGGAGCUCCUGCUGCAUGGUGGGGGUUGGAAAGUUUCGGCGGUUGGGGAUGGACUCGCGGCUUAUCAGCUUGUUGGUGGGGUAGUGGCUUACCAAGGCUUUGACGGGUAGCCGGCCUGAGAGGGUGACCGGCCACAUUGGGACUGAGAUACGGCCCAGACUCCUACGGGAGGCAGCAGUGGGGAAUAUUGAACAAUGGGCGGAAGCCUGAUGCAGCAAUGCCGCGUGCGGGAUGACGGCCUUCGGGUUGUAAACCGCUUUCGCCUGUGACGAAGCGUGAGUGACGGUAAUGGGUAAAGAAGCACCGGCUAACUACGUG